UUUUUACCAUGAUCCAUUUCUGUUUUAUGCCUAUGCUAAGUUGGUGUGACAAUUUGUGUCACACAUGUGCUUGUUGUGUUUGUCUUGACUUAUGCUAUGUGAUUGCCAUGCCUAAUGAUGUCCAAUGCCUCUAAUAAUGCCUAUGCUAAGUUGGUGUGACAAUUUGUGUCACACAUGUGCUUGUUGUGUUUGUCUUGACUUAUGCUAUGUGAUUGCCAUGCCUAAUGAUGUCCAAUGCCUCU
RNAcentral lists this long non-coding RNA (242 nucleotides) under Lathyrus oleraceus (garden pea). RNAcentral describes it as "Pisum sativum (pea) long non-coding RNA (PSAT_LNC006405)". Lineage: Eukaryota; Viridiplantae; Streptophyta; Magnoliopsida; Fabales; Fabaceae. The record is from RNAcentral.